RNAcentral lists this RNase P RNA (387 nucleotides) under Bacteroidota bacterium. RNAcentral describes it as "Bacteroidetes bacterium (hydrothermal vent metagenome) RNase P RNA component class A". It matches the Rfam family "Bacterial RNase P class A". From Rfam's summary of the family: Ribonuclease P (RNase P) is a ubiquitous endoribonuclease, found in archaea, bacteria and eukarya as well as chloroplasts and mitochondria. Its best characterised activity is the generation of mature 5'-ends of tRNAs by cleaving the 5'-leader elements of precursor-tRNAs. Lineage: Bacteria; Pseudomonadati; Bacteroidota. The record is from RNAcentral.
AAAGUAAACCAGGCGGUCGCCUCGUUCCGGUCCGUUCCGGAGCGGGGAGGAAAGUCCGAACUCCGCAGGGCAGGAUGCUCCCGAAAGGGGAGAUCCCGGUGACGGGAUGGACCCUGCCACAGAAAACACACGGCCGAUCUCCCGGUUCCACGGUGAUCGGGAGAGGCAAAGGUGAAAAGGUGGGGUAAGAGCCCACCGGUCCGGCGGUGACGUCGGGCGUCUGGCACUCCCAUCCGGAGCAAGGCCAAGUAGGAGGGGAAUCCCGCUUCGGCGGGAGGGAAGUGGCCCGCUUCCCUCGACCCUCGGGUAGGCCGCGUCAGAUAAAUGAUCGCCUCGUCCCGUUUGCACGGGAUCAGACAGAAUUCGGCUUACCGGUUUACUUUGGAU